Molecule: long non-coding RNA, 263 nt
Filed under: Mytilus galloprovincialis (Mediterranean mussel)
Lineage: Eukaryota; Metazoa; Mollusca; Bivalvia; Mytilida; Mytilidae
Source: RNAcentral
CAAAGAUAUAGAUAAUUUCCAAUAUUUGGAUAAGACUCCCUUCGAAAAGGUUCAUGUUAAUUUCUGUAAAUAUAUUUUAGGUACUAAAAAAACAUCUGCUAAUUUAGGUGUUAAAGCUGAACUUGGUAGACAACCAAUAGAAAAAAUAUAAAAACACAAGCAAUUCUUUAUUGGGCUAGAUUAAAUACUGAAAACAUAAACCCAUUGCUAAAAGAAAGUUAUACAUUAAGUAAACACCUUGAUUCACAAGGAGUUUAUACUUG